Molecule: ribosomal RNA, 814 nt
Filed under: uncultured bacterium
Lineage: Bacteria
Description: bacterial SSU rRNA
Rfam family: Bacterial small subunit ribosomal RNA
Source: RNAcentral
UAUUGGGCGUAAAGAGCUCGUAGGCGGUUUGUCGCGUCUGCUGUGAAAUCCCGAGGCUCAACCUCGGGUCUGCAGUGGGUACGGGCAGACUAGAGUGCGGUAGGGGAGAUUGGAAUUCCUGGUGUAGCGGUGGAAUGCGCAGAUAUCAGGAGGAACACCGAUGGCGAAGGCAGAUCUCUGGGCCGUAACUGACGCUGAGGAGCGAAAGGGUGGGGAGCAAACAGGCUUAGAUACCCUGGUAGUCCACCCCGUAAACGUUGGGAACUAGUUGUGGGGUCCAUUCCACGGAUUCCGUGACGCAGCUAACGCAUUAAGUUCCCCGCCUGGGGAGUACGGCCGCAAGGCUAAAACUCAAAGGAAUUGACGGGGACCCGCACAAGCGGCGGAGCAUGCGGAUUAAUUCGAUGCAACGCGAAGAACCUUACCAAGGCUUGACAUAUACGAGAACGCUGCAGAAAUGUAGAACUCUUUGGACACUCGUAAACAGGUGGUGCAUGGUUGUCGUCAGCUCGUGUCGUGAGAUGUUGGGUUAAGUCCCGCAACGAGCGCAACCCUCGUUCUAUGUUGCCAGCACGUAAUGGUGGGAACUCAUGGGAUACUGCCGGGGUCAACUCGGAGGAAGGUGGGGAUGACGUCAAAUCAUCAUGCCCCUUAUGUCUUGGGCUUCACGCAUGCUACAAUGGCCGGUACAAAGGGCUGCAAUACCGUAAGGUGGAGCGAAUCCCAAAAAGCCGGUCCCAGUUCGGAUUGAGGUCUGCAACUCGACCUCAUGAAGUCGGAGUCGCUAGUAAUCGCAGAUCAGCAACGCUGCGGU